AAACCAUGGUGAGUGCAUCUUCUCAAUAGAUCCUUGUAUCUCUCUCAUGCAUCAUAUAGAGUUUCUAAAUCCAUCUACACAAAAGAAGAGAUAUCAUUCCUCAAUUU
This is a small nucleolar RNA of Gossypium arboreum, 107 nucleotides long. It matches the Rfam family "Plant small nucleolar RNA R71". From Rfam's summary of the family: R71 is a member of the C/D box family of snoRNAs containing the C (UGAUGA) and D (CUGA) box motifs. Multiple nearly identical copies of this snoRNA have been identified in Arabidopsis, and it is thought to function as a 2'-O-ribose methylation guide for 18S ribosomal RNA. The record is from Rfam. NCBI's taxonomy places the organism in Eukaryota, Viridiplantae, Streptophyta, Magnoliopsida, Malvales, Malvaceae.